UACGUAGGGUGCGAGCGUUGUCCGGAAUUAUUGGGCGUAAAGGGCUCGUAGGUGGUUUCUUAAGUCUGAUGUGAAAGCCCACGGCUCAACCGUGGAGGGUCAUUGGAAACUGGGAGACUUGAGUGCAGAAGAGGAAAGUGGAAUUCCAUGUGUAGCGGUGAAAUGCGUAGAGAUAUGGAGGAACACCAGUGGCGAAGGCGACUUUCUGGUCUGUAACUGACACUGAGGCGCGAAAGCGUGGGGAGCAAACAGG
This 253-nucleotide ribosomal RNA is filed under the name uncultured bacterium. Its description in RNAcentral is "partial 16S ribosomal RNA". It matches the Rfam family "Bacterial small subunit ribosomal RNA", at positions 524 to 776 of the family's 1533-position model. The record is from RNAcentral.